Molecule: long non-coding RNA, 803 nt
Filed under: Homo sapiens (human)
Lineage: Eukaryota; Metazoa; Chordata; Mammalia; Primates; Hominidae
Description: non-protein coding LINC01088:35
Source: RNAcentral
GUGGAUCACAGGGAUCAUAAUGGCUUCACCACGGCAUAGCCUGUUCAGAGGACCUUACAAAAUUGUGCAUCAUGAAAUUUAUCAACUACUUAUAGUAAAGGAAUGACAAAAAUAAAUUUAAAAGGAGGGGUUAGCUUCCACCACCUAGACUACUAUCAUAUGCUUUUAUAUUCCUAUAUGCACAGCAUAUGCUUCUAUAUAUGUUAGACAUCUUAAUAUACCCUGGGUUAGCGGCAGCGUAAGAUGGUGUUUAAGAAGAAAGGCUCUGCAAGACUCCGUCUCAAAAAAAGAAAAAUAAAAAAAAGAAGAAGAAAGGCUCUGGAGGCAGAUAUACUGCAGCCAGAUCCCGGCCCAAUAGGAAUACAACAUGUUUAAGACCACAGAACAUCUGCAUAGGCUGUAAAUUUCGUUGAAUGAUGGAUGCAAAGAUGGAAGACAGAUGGAUAGAGGAAAAGACAGAAUCAGAUACUGGAUGAGUUAGUACUGCUGCCUGUGCUUCAGAGCUGUCUUAUUACCACAAGGCCGGCAAGCAUCAAUGUCCCCACAUCCCCCUCUGCCUCCCCCUGAAAUGUACCGAUUUAUAUGAAAAUUAAGAUUACAAAUUAAAGCCUGGCUAUCCUGGAGUUUUCCAGUUCAUCAGCCAUCCAAUAAAAAUGAUGUCAAGCCUGUAUGCAUAAUUCCCGGAAGAUUACUUUCGUCCUUACAGCUAAGCCCUGUCCCUGAUAUGAAAGAUCUCUAUCCACUUUUAUUGAAAUAAAGAACUAACAUCAUAAUCCCAAUAUUGAGGUAUAAUCUUCAUUAUC